This 497-nucleotide ribosomal RNA is filed under the name uncultured bacterium. Its description in RNAcentral is "partial 16S ribosomal RNA". It matches the Rfam family "Bacterial small subunit ribosomal RNA", at positions 28 to 507 of the family's 1533-position model. The record is from RNAcentral.
GAUGAACGCUGGCGGCGUGCCUAAUACAUGCAAGUCGAGCGAACGGACGAGAAGCUUGCUUCUCUGAUGUUAGCGGCGGACGGGUGAGUAACACGUGGAUAACCUACCUAUAAGACUGGGAUAACUUCGGGAAACCGGAGCUAAUACCGGAUGAUAUUUUGAACCGCAUGGUUCAAAAGUGAAAGACGGUCUUGCUGUCACUUAUAGAUGGAUCCGCGCUGCAUUAGCUAGUUGGUAAGGUAACGGCUUACCAGGGCAACGAUGCAUAGCCGACCUGAGAGGGUGAUCGGCCACACUGGAACUGAGACACGGUCCAGACUCCUACGGGAGGCAGCAGUAGGGAAUCUUCCGCAAUGGGCGAAAGCCUGACGGAGCAACGCCGCGUGAGUGAUGAAGGUCUUCGGAUCGUAAAACUCUGUUAUUAGGGAAGAACAUAUGUGUAAGUAACUGUGCACAUCUUGACGGUACCUAAACAGAAAGCCACGGCUAACUACGUG